ACCCUCCCCCCAUAGUACACUCCCUCUGAACAUCUGGAAACAUCUGUAGCUGGAACCCUUGGGUCUGCACGUAAUCGAGUGUUACAGACCACGGGGUCUCCCUUCUAUUGAUCGAUGGCCCUAAAAUUCCUGUACAACUCAUCGGGCCAGACAGAAACCUCGGAGCUGGUUUUUGGACGAGGGUCUGCUUCUCCCCGAGGUGGCCGGCCUCCUGGAGAAAAUUCAGAUUCUUUUCCAAUCAGAACUCGUUUCUUGAGUAUUGGCUUUUCCAGGGACAGCAGCCUAACCUGGGUUUUGGGUAUUGAGGUGAGGAUCACCAGGAUUCAGAGCACACUCCGGGGGACACUGCCAGGAGUGUCCCAGGUGGCUCAGACCCCACAGCGUGAUGCGUUUGUAGGGACCCACAGAGGCAGAACCUGUCCCGUGUCCACACACCAUGGGAGUGAUGCCCAACACCAAGCCGGCCAUCGAUGUGUUUCUGCUGAACAGGAGAGCAAGCCAACAAAGGAACAGGAAUGAGCAGGAGACUGCAGCAAGCUUUGCUAGAAAAUCCACUAGAGGUGCCCAGGCCUCGGAGGGAAUGUUUCAGAAACCACAGGACGCCCACUCCAUCAGAGAGCCCUGGAAGCAACAGCAGGACAGGGGCGGCAUUUCCAGAGCCUUCCUCGGAGGGAGGGGGAAGGACUGUGUGUGCACCCGGAAGGCUUGUGAUGCUCGGCUUUCCGUGACAGCCCCAGCGUCAGCCCUCGGGAGCAGGCUUCUUAAAUUGCGGGCUGAACGGCUCUGACUCACCACCCAACUCGUUCCUGCUCUUAUUUUCCAUUAUAGAAACCUUAUCUUGUGCGUCAAGAUCCAAGAUAAAAACAAUUCCUUUUUCCAUCCUCCUCAAAUGCUCAUAAAUCUUUUUUAUGGGCCACAGAAGCCACUGGCCAGUCUUACAACUCAGGAUUGUGUCCUGGAAGACCUGGGGUCAUCUCUUUGUAUGUAAUCAUCAAGGAAAGUAACACCCCAUUUCCUCAGGGGGAGAUGCGCCUACUUUCUCCUGACUCGACCUUGUGAAAGCUGCCUGAUGCAAAAGAUUUAUCCGUUUAGCUACGGAAGACAGACAGACAGACAGACAGGCGUUUCUCUUUGCAACUCCUCCCGAUGCUGGCCUGGGAUUCUCAUCAC
This is a long non-coding RNA of Lutra lutra (Eurasian river otter), 1170 nucleotides long. RefSeq lists it as uncharacterized. The record is from RefSeq and is a predicted model, not a curated record. The transcript has 3 exons. NCBI's taxonomy places the organism in Eukaryota, Metazoa, Chordata, Mammalia, Carnivora, Mustelidae.